AUACGUAGGGGGCGAGCGUUGUCCGGAAUGAUUGGGCGUAAAGGGCGCGUAGGCGGCCCGGUAAGUCUGGAGUGAAAGUCCUGUUUUUAAGAUGGGAAUUGCUUUGGAUACUGUCGGGCUUGAGUGCAGGAGAGGUAAGUGGAAUUCCCAGUGUAGCGGUGAAAUGCGUAGAGAUUGGGAGGAACACCAGUGGCGAAGGCGACUUACUUGACUGUAACUGACGCUGAGGCGCGAAAGUGUGGGGAGCAAACAGGAUUAGAUACCCUGGUAGUCCACACUGUAAACGAUGAAUGCUAGGUGUAGGGGGUAUCGACCCCUUCUGUGCCGCAGUCAACACAAUAAGCAUUCCGCCUGGGGAGUACGGCCGCAAGGUUGAAACUCAAAGGAAUUGACGGGG
RNAcentral lists this ribosomal RNA (397 nucleotides) under uncultured bacterium. Its description in RNAcentral is "partial 16S ribosomal RNA". It matches the Rfam family "Bacterial small subunit ribosomal RNA", at positions 523 to 918 of the family's 1533-position model. The record is from RNAcentral.